Molecule: ribosomal RNA, 465 nt
Filed under: uncultured bacterium
Lineage: Bacteria
Description: partial 16S ribosomal RNA
Rfam family: Bacterial small subunit ribosomal RNA
Source: RNAcentral
GACGAACGCUGGCGGCGUGCUUAACACAUGCAAGUCGAACGGAAAGGCCCUGCUUGCAGGGUACUCGAGUGGCGAACGGGUGAGUAACACGUGGGUGAUCUGCCCUGCACUUCGGGAUAAGCCUGGGAAACUGGGUCUAAUACCGGAUAGGAGCCAUUUUUAGUGUGAUGGUUGGAAAGUUUUUUCGGUGUAGGAUGAGCUCGCGGCCUAUCAGCUUGUUGGUGGGGUAAUGGCCUACCAAGGCGGCGACGGGUAGCCGGCCUGAGAGGGUGGACGGCCACAUUGGGACUGAGAGACGGCCCAGACUCCGACGGGAGGCAGAAGUGGGGAAUAUUGCACAAUGGGCGCAAGCCUGAUGCAGCGACGCCGCGUGGGGGAUGACGGCCUUCGGGUUGUAAACUCCUUUCGCUAGGGACGAAGCUUUUUGUGACGGUACCUAGAUAAGAAGCACCGGCUAACUACGUA